GUAGGGGGCUAGCGUUGCUCGGAUUUACUGGGCGUAAAGAGCGCGUAGGCGGCCAGGUAAGUCCGGUGUGAAAGCCCUCGGCUCAACCGAGGAUCCGCAUCGGAAACUACCUGGCUUGAGUCCAGGAGAGGAGGGUUGAAUUCCCGAUGUAGCGGUGAAAUGCGUAGAUAUCGGGAGGAACACCUGUGGCGAAGGCGGCCCUCUGGAAUGGUACUGACGCUGAGGCGCGAAAGCUGGGGGAGCGAACGGGGAUUAGAUACCCCGGUAGUCCCAGCUGUAAACGAUGGGCACUAGGUGUGGGAGGUAUUGACCCCUUCGUGCCGCAGCUAACGCAUUAAGUGCCCCGCCUGGGGGAGUACGGCCCGCAAGGUUG
Molecule: ribosomal RNA, 373 nt
Filed under: uncultured organism
Description: partial 16S ribosomal RNA
Rfam family: Bacterial small subunit ribosomal RNA
Source: RNAcentral